This 522-nucleotide ribosomal RNA is filed under the name uncultured bacterium. Its description in RNAcentral is "bacterial SSU rRNA". It matches the Rfam family "Bacterial small subunit ribosomal RNA", at positions 8 to 526 of the family's 1533-position model. The record is from RNAcentral.
AGAGUUUGAUCAUGGCUCAGAUUGAACGCUGGCGGAAUGCUUUACACAUGCAAGUCGAGCGGCAGCGCGGGGCAACCUGGCGGCGAGCGGCGAACGGGUGAGUAAUGCAUCGGAACAUGUCCAUGUCGUGGGGGAUAGCCCGGCGAAAGCCGGAUUAAUACCGCAUAAGCCCGAGAGGGGAAAGCGGGGGACCGCAAGGCCUCGCGCGAUUGGGUUGGCCGAUGUCCGAUUAGCUAGUUGGCGGGGUAACGGCCCACCAAGGCGAUGAUCGGUAGCUGGUCUGAGAGGAUGAUCAGCCACACUGGGACUGAGACACGGCCCAGACUCCUACGGGAGGCAGCAGUGGGGAAUUUUGGACAAUGGGGGAAACCCUGAUCCAGCCAUUCCGCGUGAGUGAAGAAGGCCUUCGGGUUGUAAAGCUCUUUUGUCCGGAACGAAACGGUGGACGUGAAUAUCGUCCGCUACUGACGGUACCGGAAGAAUAAGCACCGGCUAACUACGUGCCAGCCGCCGCGGUAAUAC